This 253-nucleotide ribosomal RNA is filed under the name uncultured bacterium. RNAcentral's name for it is "partial 16S ribosomal RNA". It matches the Rfam family "Bacterial small subunit ribosomal RNA", at positions 524 to 776 of the family's 1533-position model. The record is from RNAcentral.
UACGGGGGGGGCUAGCGUUGUUCGGAAUUACUGGGCGUAAAGGGCUCGUAGGCGGCCAACUAAGUCAGACGUGAAAUCCCUCGGCUUAACCGGGGAACUGCGUCUGAUACUGGAUGGCUUGAGUUUGGGAGAGGGAUGCGGAAUUCCAGGUGUAGCGGUGAAAUGCGUAGAUAUCUGGAGGAAUACCGGUGGCGAAGGCGGCAUCCUGGACCGGCAUUGACGCUGAGGAGCGAAAGCCAGGGGAGCAAACGGG